Molecule: long non-coding RNA, 3279 nt
Organism: Aegilops tauschii subsp. strangulata
Lineage: Eukaryota; Viridiplantae; Streptophyta; Magnoliopsida; Poales; Poaceae
Source: RefSeq, a predicted model, not a curated record
CACUUCCCACCUCCCCGGACAUAGCGAUCCCCUUGAAAAAAACCCAACCAAAACCACGUGGGAGCGAUGCCUCCAGAUACGAGCGAGACAUCCAGGGCGAAAAAAACCCUGAGAAAAUUAACCUACGAACUAAAACCUACGACAAAAAAUCCAGAGCGAGGCCUGCAGGGUGCCCUCGCCAGAACCACGCCAGCCGCCCUCGCACCGAUCCCUCGCUCUUCGCCGCCCUCGUACCGAUUCCUCGCGCUUCGCCGCCGCCGAUCCCUUCGACGCCGCCAAUCCCUUCGCCGCCGCCGAUCUCAUAGCUACGAUCCGCUUGAGGAGCCGCCGCCGAUCUCGUCGCUACGAUCAGCUUGGGGAGCCGCCGCCGAUCCCCUUCAGGAUCCGCCGGCGAUCGCCAUCCAGGGCACAGUCUACACGUUCUAGCGCCAAGAUCCUUUCCCCUUCCUCCUGCUAUGGUCGGGGGUCGGCGGCUCGCCGGUGUGGCGCAUGGCAGCGGAGAGAAGGGGGUGAAGAACAGCGGGGCAGAGUUCUUCCGGGAGGACGGCGUGUUGCACGACAUGGACGGGUAACUCAACUACCUGUCCCUCGAGCAUGACUCCUGGGACACCAAGCCAUGGACGGCUUGGUAUUACUUCUUGGAUCCUUCCUCCCUUCUCUGUAUUUAGAAACUGAAAUUUAAUAAGGCUGUGACGCAAUUUUAUUUUGAUUUGUUGCUACCUGUAUUAGGCUGAUCUGCUAUGGUUGUGGUUCCUUGUCGUAGAGUGCCAACUACGGACUCCGCCAUGUCCAACCACCUACACAUUUAGGUUUGUUUUAAAAUCGAAUAAAUUCUUCCACUCAGAUUGUGGGAAAUAAGGUGAAUCAAAUUGGUUUUCAUAUUUGGCCCAAUUAGCUCAAAGGUUCUACUAUGAAUCUGAUGUAUUGAAGUCACUGUCUUCUAGCUAUAUGUUGUCUACAAAUUUCCCUUUUCACCUUUUUUUUGUAAUGUGAUUCCAAACUCUUAAGGUUAACCACUGCCACUAUUUCUCUAAUGAAUAUGCCAUGUGCAUAGGAAAGGUGCACCAUUUUUUCUUUAUCUUUAUCUUAGUUAAAUCCAUCCAGAGUGUAUGGAGGAACUAAAGACAUAUAGCUGAACAUAGAGCAUCAAUCCUCUUAUUGUUUAUUGUUCAUAAAAUUCUAUAUUAGAGUACCAUAUCAAUUCCAUUGUGACUUAAACGACGAAAUGCAUGAAAACUAUGUUUACUUUUCAACGUUUUUCAGACUAUUUGUCAUGUAUCCUUACUUACCGAGCAAUAGGGUUGUGGCAGAUGCUGGUAGCGCAAAAUGGAAUCCUAGAAAGAGGUCUAAUUGAUCAGCUGUGUUGAUGGACAGUUACCUGCCCAAUGUAAAUUAGAUACUAAAGGGAAAGGCAUGAAUGCGUAAGUUUUGUAGCAGUAGAUUCAGAACGAUGUUCUUUAUGCAUUUAAAAAAAAUCGUACAAUUCUUGAACAUGUUCAGAAUUAUGCAAUCAUCUCCUCGGAAUAGUGAGACAUUUCUUGGCUUAAUUUGUAUAUCCAAACUGGUGCCUUUUAGACUUGCCUGAUACAUAUCUUUGCAGGGAAAUUCACAGGGGUUCACCUCAACUGUGAAAUCAGUAGCUAGCUAUACUAUUGGCACCAUUGUUCAUGAGCAAUGUCCUACACAUGACCAGUUUUAUCACCUCUUCGGCUCUUCCUGAUGUUGCUUGUGGAUCUUGGUAACUCUGUUAAGUCUCUCUUUCUACAAUCUAAGUUGCUGCUUCACAGAAGAGAACCUCUAAAUUUACAAGUUUUAGUUUCCUUCUGGUGGGCAUCAUCUUGGUCAGCCCUUCUCUUCCUAAUUAUGCUCACAAUAAUUAGUACAUUGUCGGUAACUGCAUAUUCAAAUUGACAUAUUUCUUCUUUGCAUAUUUGAGCUAACUUUCGCACUUCCCUGGCAAGAAGUAUGACCUGGCCGACCUCAAGCAGCAUGAGUUGACCCUUCAAUGCACGCUUCCUCUUCUACCGUACUAUCUGUGCUUACCAUUAGCCAACAGGUAAACAAUUUAAAAUUUAAAAUUGACGAAUGUCACAUUUGAUUUGCUAGAUUAGGUUCAUGGAUGUCAAGCGCAUCUAAUCAGCAUCAUCAUACUUUGGGCUCUGACACUCAGCGCUGUUUGUGAGGAUUGUGGUUACCAGGAGACGUCAUAGAGACAAAGGACAUCUAUCGCAGGCGAGCCACUAACAAUUUUCCAUGAAAGGUGGCCUCCUUUGCUGCUCGUGUGAAUCGCGGCCCGAGUGUGCACCUGAAUAUAUCUUUCUUCGUGGAUUCUCCUUGUAUGCAUCGAUCCCUUCUCACGAAAUUUUAUGCCCCGCCAGUCAGCCUGCGAGGAUGCAGCGGACGCGAGCUUGCAGUGGUUGUUCCAUCGGUGCUCCAGCGUUGGCAUGAUGGCCUAUGCCAUCCUCCUUGGUGUACCCCACAUUGGCAGUGGCAACUUCGUCUGUGACGAGCUAACCUCCAUUGGGCCGCUGCCGUGCAGUCCUUUUGUUUGAGAUGAAUGUGGAUCCAUAUGUUACUGAAUAUUGAGAGAAAUGCAAACACUGGUUGGAGUUCCCGCAGAUUUAGAAUGAUGAUGAGGUAGCUGUCCAGGGCCGUGGUAUCUGCUCUGCUUUCCAGAAAAGCGAAUGCAGUCACGGAGCUUCCUGCAGAUUUUCACAUGGUGGGCGGGUGAUAUGCUGAAAAACUCGUGAUGAUCACAAUACGCCCUUUACAUUGCUCUGGUCAUGUCCAUGGGGAGGGAACAAGGAGUGAUUUUCAUAUGCGAAAAGGGAGAAUGGAAUUCAGGGAGGUGUUGUCUGCACCUUUCAUAGGGAUGGAUGACUUCUUGUCAUGAAUGAUCACCCUUUUACCUAAUGAUUUCCGGAACUGUUCAUGUGGUGCCUUCGUUGGUCCUUUUUUUCACCGAAAAAGCUUAUUUUUUUUUCUUUGCAGGUACUGCAAUAUCUCAAAGCUUUAGAAUUGAUCUGCUUGUAUUCCAAGUUUGAUUUUUUUUUGCUGAUCGUUUCCUUGUGGUGAGAUUAUGAUUUUUUGUGUGCCUUUCCCUGAAGAUUUUUUUUUGUUUUUUUAAUGUGAAUUUGGGAUAGCAUGGAGAAUGUUGCUGUCUGUCCCGCAGGUGCUGGACAUGAUUCUCGAAGAAGAUAUAGGUGUGCAUGCUUCACAUCUUGUACAUGCUUACGCAAAGUGGGAUUUUGUCCAUGUUUUGAUGAGCUCAAUUUCUUA